Molecule: ribosomal RNA, 468 nt
Filed under: uncultured bacterium
Lineage: Bacteria
Description: partial 16S ribosomal RNA
Rfam family: Bacterial small subunit ribosomal RNA
Source: RNAcentral
GACGAACGCUGGCGGCGUGCUUAACACAUGCAAGUCGAACGGAAAGGCCCUGCUUUUGUGGGGUGCUCGAGUGGCGAACGGGUGAGUAACACGUGAGUAACCUGCCCUUGACUUUGGGAUAACUUCAGGAAACUGGGGCUAAUACCGGAUAGGAGCUCCUGCUGCAUGGUGGGGGUUGGAAAGUUUCGGCGGUUGGGGAUGGACUCGCGGCUUAUCAGCUUGUUGGUGGGGUAGUGGCUUACCAAGGCUUUGACGGGUAGCCGGCCUGAGAGGGUGACCGGCCACAGGGAGACUGAGAUACGGCCCAGACUCCUACGGGAGGCAGCAGGGGGGAAUAUUGCACAAUGGGCGGAAGCCGGAUGCAGCAACGCCGCGAGAGGGAUGACGGACUUCGGGUUGUAAACCGCUUUCGCCUGUGACGAAGAGUGAGUGACGGUAAUGGGUAAAGAAGCACCGGAUAACUACGUG